This 1466-nucleotide long non-coding RNA is filed under the name Salmo salar (Atlantic salmon). Its description in RNAcentral is "lncRNA (ENSSSAG00000117379.1)". Lineage: Eukaryota; Metazoa; Chordata; Actinopteri; Salmoniformes; Salmonidae. The record is from RNAcentral.
UGUGUGUGUGUGUGUGUGUGUGUGUGUGUGUGUGUGUGUGUGAGUGUGUGCAUGCAUGUGUGUGUAGGGGGUUGUAUUGCAGGCAGGCACGCAUACACACACACGUACACACACACAAACUUAAUCAAACAACGUUUAGAGCAAUCCCUCAGACUGUAACGUUUAGACUGUAACUCAAUGCCGUGGGUUCCAGUCUGAAACCCCCAGAGAAAUCAAAUAUUAAUUUAGACGAGAGCCACUGCUCAAUAUCGACUCUCCAAUCGAUGUGUGCGUGUGUGCGUGCAAGGAGAGAAAAAGAGAUGCAGGACAAACAAGAGAUUGAGUGAAGAGAAAAAGAGUGAGAGAGGAAGAAAGACAGAGAAAAAGAUGAGUCCCUAGGAUUCCAGCCUCAAUCACAGAAGUUUGAUCAAAGUUCUCUGUUCCAGUAAACAUUUCUGAACAGCACGCCCGAUUCAAACACAACUCAACUGCAUGCACAGUAGGGGGGAAGACAAUCAGUGUAGCGCUCCCUUUUCAUCGAGAAAUUAUGAGAAUACAAGCUGUAGCGGCCUUCAUUCUCCUCCAGUCACAAAGCAACUGGUCUGUGAUUGCCCUGGACCCCUCGUUAGGCACCAAGAGCCUGUCCAAUCAACUCCAUCAUUCCACUACAGUGCAUGUGUGUGUGUGUGAUGUCUGAAGACAGACACAAAUUGGCAAUCAGGUAACGCUAUCAUGGAUUGGACUUUCCUCAGAGUGAUCCUGACUCCAAUACCCUGUUCCUUUCCUCUCCUCCAUCUCCUCGUCGCUCCGGAGCGGCUCCAGCUCGACCCUGACAGGUGCUCCUGACAAAACCUAUUACCAUCACAAUUACACAAGCUCUCUCUCUCUCUCUCUCUCAAUGUAUUGCUCACCCUCUCUGUCUCUCAAUCACUAAAGCUUCUCACUUGUCUUAACCCUCAACCCCUGUCUCUCCCUCUCUCUUUCUCACCCCUCCUCUUUUAUCACUAUCUCUAUCCACCUCUAUCAAUCUCUAUUGGUUCCCAUCUCCUAGGCCCAAUUAGAGCAUUAGAGUACAUGGCUCACUUUAAUCUGCAUUAGGGAAGAGAUGAGAGGGCAAUGAGGAGACGAGGAGAGAGGAGAAGGUGAUGAGGAGUGAAAUGGAGGGUUUCUUCUUUCUCCUUACCCCGCUAUAUUUCAGUUUAUUUGUCUCUCUUCCUCCCCACUUCCCUCCCCAUCUUGCAGGUGUGCGAUAGUGAGGUAUUGAUGAUAGAGAGAGAGAGAGAGAAGGGUCUGUGUAGAAGAUAUAUGGUGUUCUGAGAGCCUAUGUGGAGAGAUGGAGAGAUGGAGUAGAGGAGAGAUUGAGGAGAGAUUGAGGAGAGAUGGAGAGAUUGAGGAGAGAUGGAGAGAUUGAGGAGAGAUGGAGUAGAGAUUGAGUAGAGGAGAGAUGGAGUUGGGGAGAGAUGGAGGAGAGGAGAGAUGGAGGAGAG